UCCCCAAUAGCUCAGUUGGUAGAGCGCUCGGCUGUUAACCGAUAGGUCGUUGGUUCGAGUCCAACUUGGGGAGCCA
Molecule: transfer RNA, 76 nt
Filed under: Lachnospiraceae bacterium
Lineage: Bacteria; Bacillati; Bacillota; Clostridia; Lachnospirales; Lachnospiraceae
Also listed under: 2 other names
Description: tRNA-Asn
Rfam family: tRNA
About the family: Transfer RNA (tRNA) molecules are approximately 80 nucleotides in length. Their secondary structure includes four short double-helical elements and three loops (D, anti-codon, and T loops).
Source: RNAcentral